RNAcentral lists this small RNA (736 nucleotides) under Pongo abelii (Sumatran orangutan). Its description in RNAcentral is "processed transcript". The record is from RNAcentral. Lineage: Eukaryota; Metazoa; Chordata; Mammalia; Primates; Hominidae.
UUCCCAUCACAGCCGGGAAAGCCCAACUGCUUAGAGAAAAAGCUGAGUCAAAGUGCUUGGGUCUCCUUUUUCCUUAGGAGACCUGGGAAUUGAGAGAAUCUGAUAACUUCAUUGCGAGUUGUAAUAUGGGAAUACGUGAAUCUACUCACAGGGCUGUGGGUUCAGUAGGAUCGAGUGUUAAAGUUCCUGUUAUGGGGCUUGACAUAGAGAAGGAUUCCAGUCCUCUACUAAAUGAAGUUUCUUCUUCACUUAUUGGAACUGAUUCCCAAGUCUUUCCACCAGUUAGCAAGCCUUCAUCCGCCUAUCCCUCCACAACAAUUGUCAAUCCUACUAUUGUGCUCUUGCAACACAAUCGAGAACAGCAAAAACGACUCAGUAGCCUUUCAGAUCCUGUCUCAGAAAGAAGAGUGGGAGAGCAGGACUCAGCACCAACCCAGGAAAAACCCACCUCACCUGGCAAGGCUGCUGAAAAAAGAGCAAAGGAUGACAGUAGGCGGGUGGUGAAGAGCACUCAGGACUUAAGCGAUGUUUCCAUGGAUGAAGUGGGCAUCCCACUCCGGAACACUGAGAGAUCAAAAGACUGGUACAAGACUAUGUUUAAACAGAUACACAAACUAAACAGAGAUGAUGAUUCAGAUCUGUACUCUCCCAGAUACUCGUUUUCUGAAGACACAAAAUCUCCCCUUUCCGUGCCUCGCUCAAAAAGUGAGAUGAGCUACAUUGAUGGUGAGAAGGU